ACGAACGCUGGCGGCGUGCCUAAUCCAUGCAAGUAGAACGCACAGUUUAUACCGUAGCUUGCUACACCAUAGCCUGUGAGUUGCUAACGGGUGAGUAACGCGUAUGUAACCUGCCUGGUAGCGGGGGAUAACUAUUGGAAACGAUAGCUAAUACCUCAUAAUAUUUAUUAUUGCAUGAUAAUUGAUUGAAAGAUGCUAUUGCAUCACUACCAGAUGGACCUGCGUUGUAUUAGCUAGUAGGUGAGGUAACGGCUCACCUAGGCGACGAUACAUAGCCGACCCGAGAGGGGGAUCGGCCACACUGGGACUGAGACACGGCCCAGACUGCUACGGGAGGAAGCAGUAGGGAAUCUUCGGCAAUGGACGAAAGUAAGACCGAGCAACGCAGCGUGAGUGAAGAAGGUUUUCGGAUCGUAAAGCUCUGUUGUAAGAGAAGAACGGGUGUGAGAGUGGAAAGUUCAAACUGAGACGGUAUCUUACCAGAAAGGGACGGCUAAAUACGUG
This 504-nucleotide ribosomal RNA is filed under the name uncultured bacterium. Its description in RNAcentral is "partial 16S ribosomal RNA". It matches the Rfam family "Bacterial small subunit ribosomal RNA", at positions 29 to 507 of the family's 1533-position model. The record is from RNAcentral.